RNAcentral lists this ribosomal RNA (372 nucleotides) under uncultured bacterium. Its description in RNAcentral is "bacterial SSU rRNA". It matches the Rfam family "Bacterial small subunit ribosomal RNA", at positions 524 to 898 of the family's 1533-position model. The record is from RNAcentral.
UACGGAGGAUCCAAGCGUUAUCCGGAUUUAUUGGGUUUAAAGGGUGCGUAGGCGGCUUUAUAAGUCAGGGGUGAAAUACGGCAGCUCAACUGUCGCAGUGCCUUUGAUACUGUAGAGCUUGAAUGUGGUUGAAGAUGGCGGAAUGAGACAAGUAGCGGUGAAAUGCAUAGAUAUGUCUCAGAACUCCAAUUGCGAAGGCAGCUGUCUAAGUCAUUAUUGACGCUGAUGCACGAAAGCGUGGGGAUCGAACAGGAUUAGAUACCCUGGUAGUCCACGCCCUAAACGAUGAUAACUCGAUGUUAGCGAUAUACCGUUAGCGUCCUAGCGAAAGCGUUAAGUUAUCCACCUGGGGAGUACGCCCGCAAGGGUGAA